Molecule: ribosomal RNA, 224 nt
Filed under: uncultured bacterium
Lineage: Bacteria
Description: partial 16S ribosomal RNA
Rfam family: Bacterial small subunit ribosomal RNA
Source: RNAcentral
UACGUAGGGUGCAAGCGUUGUCCGGAAUUAUUGGGCGUAAAGGGCUCGUAGGCGGUUUUGUCGCGUCGGGAGUGAAAAACUCAGGGCUUAACCCUGAGCCUGCUUCCGAUACGGGCAGACUAGAGGUAUGCAGGGGAGAACGGAAUUCCUGGUGUAGCGGUGAAAUGCGGCAGAAUAUCAGGAGGAACACCGGUUGGCGAAGGGCGGGAUUCUCCGUGGGGCAA